CUGUGGCACGGCGUUCAUGUUCACGGAUCAUUGUGUUGUCGGCCAUUUUCAACGCGCGUUGCCUACUUGCCCAGUUAACCAAACUCUCUCCUGUGUUUUGUGUCCGGCGGCAUAGUCCUUUUUUUCCAUUCGUAUAUCACGUUUUGCACCCUUUACAUACCUGUCACGUACCUGUUCACGUCGCGCCGGAAACCCGUAAACUUCUUCGUCACACAAUUCUACGCAGCCGAUCUACUGUUUCCGAGUCUUGUGUAAGCAUUAAGCGCGGAACGCUGUCAAGUCAAAACAUUUAUCACGCCGAAAACAAAUCUGUUAUUAUUUUGCCGUUUCGUUGUGUUCUUAGUAAUCGUCAGUGAACCGUCGUUUCCCGAACAAUAUGUCUUCAACCGAAAUGAAUGAUGGUGCCAACGGAGAAAUGUCUUCUGAAUCCAAGCCAAACGAAUACGUGUCGGCCCUGGUCAAAGAAAAGUAUGCUCUGGAUGCUUCUACCCAUUUAAACACAAUGAAACUCAUCGACGAAGAAAUUGCCAGAGCACAAAACACCAACGGCAAACCAGAAUCUACUUAUUUGGACAUAAAUAGUGAUAAACCUAUUCGGCUAACUGCCAAAAUUAUGGUUCCAGCAAAAGAAUUCCCAAGGUUCAACUUUGUUGGUAAGCUAUUGGGACCUAAGGGAAACUCUUUAAAACGUCUCCAAGAAGAUACUAUGACCAAAAUGGCAAUAUUGGGCAAAGGAUCAAUGCGCAACAAAGAAAAAGAAGAUGAAAUGAGAAGUUCAUUAAAUCCAAAAUUUGCGCACCUUGCUGAUGAACUUCAUGUGCAAGUUACUGCUUAUGCUCCCCCUGCUGAAGCUUAUGCUCGUCUCGCUUAUGCACUUGCAGAACUUAGAAAGUUUUUGAUACCCGACCAUAAUGAUCAAAUUGCACAAGAACAAGCACGUGAAAUGCAACAAUUUGGAGGUGCUCCUCCUGUUCGUCAUCCAGGACCAAUAAUUCAUGCUCCACCACCUCCACCUGCAGUAAUUCGCCAAAUGCCACCUCAGCCACCUCGUAUGCCCAGAGCUCCAGUGCCCGGAAAAGCCAAAGUAAUGAGCAUAUUGGAUAGAGCUCGAUCAGCAAUGGAAGGAUCAAAUGCUUAUCCUGGUAAUGGUGGAUAUGGCGAUUCUGGUUCAUCUCAUUAUUCUCAUUUUGAUUCUGGGUAUGGUGGUGUAGCAACAUACAAUGGAGGUGGUAAUGAUGAUUACUAUUCAGGAAAUUCAUACUCGCAAGAUAAUUCUCAAAGUGGUGGUGGACGUGGCUGGAAAAAUUACAAUACUGGCGGUAGUAGUGGGCCAUCCAAACCGACUGGUAAUCAAGGUAGUCGGUAUGGAGGUCGUAAUGCUCCAUAUACCAGACAAAAAUAACCAGGUAUUUGUCAGGACUAUUUCUAUUGUAAAUGAAUAUUGACAACAAAGAAAAAUAAUGGGUAGAAUAAUUUUUAAAUGUUUUGACGUUUCAUAAUUAUCUCAAAAAUAAUUUUCCACUUAGUAAAACAAAUUAAGAUUAUCUUAUAUAUAUUUUUUUUUUUUUUUUAUAUAUACAUAUAUAAAAUAUAAAAGUAUUGUAAAUCCAAAAAUAAGUUGUGUAUUACAUGGGAUGUUGAAUUCCAAAUCAUAUUUUUCUUAAGAUAAAACAUAAUUUAAACAUAAUUGUGUAAGGAAUAAAAUUUUAAUAAAUAAAUUUGUACAAUGAAGUGUAAAAUACAAAUUCUGCACAAAACCUCUUGAUUAGAUUAUUAUUAUAACUUUAUAUCAAAUAUUGUUGGGCUACUUAUUUUACUAUUUUUUUUUUAAAUAUGAAUUUAUCUAUAGGAAUAUGUUUAUAAUUUUUUGAUGUAUUUUUGAUUACUUUUUAUAGAUACUUAGAUCAUACAUUGUUACUAAAGGAUAGCACCACUGCCACAAUAUAUUUUUAUUCAAUAAAUAAUAGUAAUUACUAUUAAUAAAAUAUUUGAGUUCCUUUACUUUUAUAAUAUCAAAAAAAUAAUUGGAUAAUAAAAUAAAUUUGUAUACAAAUAAUUAUUUUUUAAUACUAAAUUGCAUUUAUAAGAAUUAAAAACUCAAUCACUAAAGUUAUUAAUUAAACAUCAAUAGUUAAAAAUUAAUAAAAACAAAAUUAAAUAUUAGGACAAUAAUAAAAAAAUUCUAUUGUGGCAGAGGUAACAAUCCGCUUAAAAUAAAAUUCACCUGUUGCUUGCUGCUAAUAUUACAGAUGCUGAUUUAUUAUAAAAGUUAAAAUUUAAAUUUCAACCCAGUGAUGAUUGAUGAUUAUUAUAAUAAUAAUAACAAACCAAUUGACUACUAUAAUAUUUUUAAUUAAUAAUUAUUAUUUUAUUAUAUUUAUAUGUUUGAAUAAACCUUAAUAGAACCAUUGGAUUCAUUUUAAAAUGUCACUUAUAUAAUAUUAUGUAAUUACUAAUUAAUAAAUUUGAAGAAAUAUUUGUAGUAUUUAUUGUUUUAUACAGUUAUUAUUUACUUAUUUAUUAUUAUUAUUAUUUUUUUUUUUUUAUCAUUUUAUUAUAAAAACAUGGAUUACGUGUAAUCCAAUGCUAUCGAUAGAUGUUUAGAUUUAUAAUAAUAUUGUAGUUAGUUAGGUACAACAAAAUUUAUAUAAAAUAAAAACUUACAAAAAAUAAAAUAAAAUAUUUAUAAUUUACUUGAUCUUACUUUACAUAUUAUAUUAUACUACUUAUUCACAAUAUCUACUAUUGAUAUAAAUAGUUAUUGUAUACAUGUAUGUUAUGGAUGAUGUGCAUAUUGUGAGUUUUGUCAACAUUUAAAUAGCCAAUACUAUAAAUUGUAUUCACAAGUUUUGGGAGUGUGAAAGUAAUUUGAGGUUAUCAAUUAUAAUUUAUAAUCAAAUUAAAUCCGAAAUUAAAUAUGUCUACUUAAUUUUGUGGAAAAACAUUUUCAAUUAUGAAUAUGUUGUACUUAGUUUCCACUAUGUCUUGCAUUAGAAUUAUUACUAAUGUUACAAUUAAUCAAAUUUUGUAUAGUUUAAUCGUUAUGUAUUUAUUGGUUUGAAGUGUUGUCUUUAGCUACAUGAGUAAAUAAUUGUGAAUAACUGUUAGUAUUGUUGACAGAUGUUAAUAUUAACCACAAUUUGCAUAUCAGCUGUAACAUAUUUAUGUACUCACGUCAACCUUACGAUAUUUUAUAAUUUGAUAAUUGAUAACAAUAAAGUUUCAGGUGAAUCCUUUUAACCAAAUAUUGCACGACCCAAACCUAAUUCCUCACCACGAAAUACAUUCACUGGAUAAAAAAAAACCUGAUAAAUCAUAAUAAUAACAUUUAAAUUGACCAUUAUGUUAUCGUUUUAGGAGUGUAUAUAUAUAUAUAUAUACCAUGACAUUUAUGACAUAAAUUAACUUCCAGCAAACGAAAACCAAUAUAAAGAGGAGUGGAGAUGCUCUAAAAAGCGCAUAAAUUAUUAUCAUGUCGAUUGCCGAUGAUACAGGCGGGCUUGGAAUCCCUAUUUUAGAGAUUAAUUCUCUAAUUUUGUUAAAAAAAAAAAAAAUGUGGUGAGGUCUAUUGCACUUCACUAUACAUAAUAUAUUUAACCUGGAAAGUGAUAAUAUUUUUAUAGGAACACAUAUUAUAUUCUUAUAAUUAUAUUAAAAUUGUGGUAAGUUGUUUUGAAAUUUAAUAAUGUCAAAUGUUUACUGUAACUAACUUGUUGCCUUUGACAAAAAAAAAAAAAAAAAAAAAAUAACAUACAAAAGUUAUAAAUAACUAUAAACUCAGUAAUACAUCAAUAAUAUGAAGGAAAAAAAGAAAUCAAAAUUGAAUGAAAAUAUUUAAAUAACAGGAGAAUCUGGUUCCACUACAUACAUAUUCAUUGAUUCUUAGAACAAAGGUUGGACAACUUCCUCAAGUACAACAUAUUUAUUUUUAUUUUUGUUAUUUAUGAUUUAUUAUUGUUUUAAUUUGUGGUAAUGCAAUCCUACUAUCGAAAAGACUGACCAUAAAUGUGUAUCGGUUAAUUGUAAUAUUUUUUACUUUUGUAAUUUUUAUUGUUAUUAUUAUUUUAUUUUUAGUACAAUAAAAACUAGUCAAUUAUUUACUUAAAA
RNA transcript from Aphis gossypii (cotton aphid), 4107 nucleotides. It is a transcript of the gene named KH domain-containing, RNA-binding, signal transduction-associated protein 2, with no coding region annotated. The transcript has 7 exons. NCBI's taxonomy places the organism in Eukaryota, Metazoa, Arthropoda, Insecta, Hemiptera, Aphididae. The record is from RefSeq and is a predicted model, not a curated record.